CCGGACCUCACUGCUAUCGGGGUGAGAUUUAGCCAUGCAAGUCAUGCGCCUCCAAGCUAUGAUGGGGGUGCGGCAUACGGCUCCGUAACACGUGGCCAACCUACCCUUGGGACGAGGAUAACCCCGGGAAACUGGGGCUAAUAAUCGAUAGGUAGGAGUGCCUGGAAUGGUCUCCUACUGAAAAGACGUCGAGAUCAUGCUUCUCGACUUUGCCCAUGGAUGGGGCUGCGGCCGAUCAGGUUGUUGGUAGGGUAAUGGCCUACCAAGCCUAUAACCGGUACGGGCCCUGAGAGGGGGUGCCCGGAGAUGGGAACUGAGACAAGGUCCCAAGCCCUAAGGGGCGCAGCAGGCGCGAAACCUCCACAAUACGCGAAAGCGUGAUGGGGUUACCCCGAGUGCCGUCCGAAGAGGAUGGCUUUUCCUCGGUGUAAAGAGCCGAGGGUAAUAAGAGGGGGGCAAGACUGGUGUCAGCCGCCGCGGUAAUACCAGCUCCUCGAGUGGUGAGGACGAUUACUGGGCCUAAAGCGUUCGUAGCCUGCUUGGUGAGUCCUUCGUGAAAUCCGUCGACUUAAUCGUCGGGAGUGCGAAGGAGACCGCCAAGCUAGGGGGCGGGAGAAGUCGACGGUAUUCCCGGGGUAGGGGUGAAAUCCUAUAAUCCCGGGAGGACCACCAGUGGCGAAGGCGGUCGACUAGAACGUGCCCGACGGUGAUGGACGAAAGCUGGGGGAGCGAACCGGAUUAGAUACCCGGGUAGUCCCAGCCGUAAACGAUGCAGGCUAGGUGUUGGGGG
This 790-nucleotide ribosomal RNA is filed under the name uncultured archaeon. RNAcentral describes it as "bacterial SSU rRNA". It matches the Rfam family "Archaeal small subunit ribosomal RNA", at positions 17 to 780 of the family's 1478-position model. The record is from RNAcentral.